This 375-nucleotide RNase P RNA is filed under the name Nitriliruptorales bacterium. RNAcentral's name for it is "RNase P RNA component class A". It matches the Rfam family "Bacterial RNase P class A". From Rfam's summary of the family: Ribonuclease P (RNase P) is a ubiquitous endoribonuclease, found in archaea, bacteria and eukarya as well as chloroplasts and mitochondria. Its best characterised activity is the generation of mature 5'-ends of tRNAs by cleaving the 5'-leader elements of precursor-tRNAs. The record is from RNAcentral. Lineage: Bacteria; Bacillati; Actinomycetota; Nitriliruptoria; Nitriliruptorales.
GGAGUCGGCCAGGCGACCGCGGCGGGAUGACCCGUCGAGGAAAGUCCGGACUCCGCAGGGCAGGACGCUGGGUAACGCCCAGGCGCGGUGACGCGCGGCACAGUGCAACAGAGAGCAGACCGCCAGGGGCCCGCGCAACAUGGCGCGGGUACCGGUAAGGGUGAAAGGGUGCGGUAAGAGCGCACCGGCACCGGUGGUGACACCGGUGGCCAGGUAAACCCCGUCCGGAGCAAGGCCAAGCAGGUGCGAUGAGGUGGCCCGCCGAGCACCGGGUAGGCCGCACGAGGCCGGCGGCAACGUCGGUCCCAGACAGAUGGUCGCCGCUCCCGGCAUCGCCGGGACGCACAGAAUCCGGCUUACCGGCCGGCUCCCUCC